GGAGAUGUAGCUCAGCGGUAGAGCGUUCGCUUUGUAAGCGAUAGACCUGAGUUCGAUCCUCAGCAUCUUCA
Hyposmocoma kahamanoa is the source of this 71-nucleotide non-coding RNA. The record is from the annotation of a RefSeq genome assembly. Lineage: Eukaryota; Metazoa; Arthropoda; Insecta; Lepidoptera; Cosmopterigidae.